GGAAUAUUGGUCAAUGGGCGAGAGCCUGAACCAGCCAAGUAGCGUGAAGGAUGACGGCCCUAUGGGUUGUAAACUGCUUUUGUACGGGAAUAAAGUGCGGGACGUGUCCCGUUUUGUAUGUACCGUAAGAAUAAGGACCGGCUAAUUCCGUGCCAGCAGCCGCGGUAAUACGGAAGGUCCGGGCGUUAUCCGGAUUUAUUGGGUUUAAAGGGAGCGCAGGCGGGGAGCUAAGCGUGACGUGAAAUGUAGCCGCUCAACGGCUGAACUGCGUCGCGAACUGGCUUUCUUGAGUGAGUACGACGUCAGCGGAAUUCGUGGUGUAGCGGUGAAAUGCUUAGAUAUCACGAAGAACCCCGAGUGCGAAGGCAGCUGACGAGUCCUUUACUGACGCUAAAGCUCGAAGGUGCGGGUAUCGAACA
RNAcentral lists this ribosomal RNA (419 nucleotides) under uncultured Prevotella sp. RNAcentral describes it as "bacterial SSU rRNA". It matches the Rfam family "Bacterial small subunit ribosomal RNA", at positions 358 to 774 of the family's 1533-position model. The record is from RNAcentral. Lineage: Bacteria; Pseudomonadati; Bacteroidota; Bacteroidia; Bacteroidales; Prevotellaceae.